AUGAUCCAGUGCUGCACGUUCAGUCGGGCCGCCAUGGCCGUUCUUUUCCUUUGUUGCGAAGGCACGGCACGGCAUGGCGCACGAGGGGCAGUCGCACGCGGAGAUCCCAGAUAUACCACAUGUCUGCUGGCGUACUGUAUCUCGAUCAGCUGCACCGCACCGCACUCCUCGCUUUCCCCUUUCCCCCGAUCCUUACAAAAAGUAAACGCGCCAGCCGCCAGGCCCAGAGAACCUUCGCCCCAUCGCCACUACCUCCGAUUGAUUCUCCCCCGCCACCGCCCGCCGCCCACCGCACCGCAUCAUUCCUCCUCAUCCGUCGCCAAUCCGCAUAAGGCUCCCGCGCCGGCGCCGGCGGGGUACCCGACGCACGGCGGCCAGGCCGCGCGCCCGCAGUCCACGGCCGUCGCCGUCACGGCGGCCAGCAACGGCGCCGGCAACCCCUACGUGCAAGUCACCCCGGCCAGCGCGUCCCCGUCCACCUGCCAGUCCAUCAUGAAGGCGCUGGGGCGGUACGGGAAGCUGCUGGAGGACGGCACCCGCAAGGCCGCCGACACCACCGGCAACAUCUGGAACCACCUCCGGACGGCGCCGAACAUGGCGGACGCGGCGGUGGCGCGGCUGGCGCAGGGGACCAAGGUGUACGCGGAGGGCGGGCACGAGCGGGUGUUCCACCAGGUGUUCGGCGGCGUGCCGGGGGAGCAGCUCCGCAAGGCCUACGCCUGCUACCUCUCCACCUCCUCCGGCCCCGUCAUCGGCACGCUCUACCUCUCCACCGCCCGCCUCGCCUUCUGCAGCGACUCGCCCGUCUCCUACCACGCCCCCUCCCCCACCCAGCCGCCCGAGCCCAUGUACUACAAGGUGGUGCUUCCGCUGAACCAGGUGAGGACGGUGAGCCCGUCGGCCAGCAUGUGGAGGCCGUCGGAGCGGUACAUCCAGGUGGCCACCACCGACAGCCACGAGUUCUGGUUCAUGGGCUUCGUCUCCUACGACAAGGCGCUCAAGCACCUCUCCGACGCCCUGCAGCGCCGUCCCUGA
This 1035-nucleotide ribosomal RNA is filed under the name Triticum aestivum (bread wheat). Its description in RNAcentral is "partial small subunit ribosomal RNA". Lineage: Eukaryota; Viridiplantae; Streptophyta; Magnoliopsida; Poales; Poaceae. The record is from RNAcentral.